Molecule: ribosomal RNA, 817 nt
Filed under: uncultured soil bacterium
Lineage: Bacteria
Description: bacterial SSU rRNA
Rfam family: Bacterial small subunit ribosomal RNA
Source: RNAcentral
GGAGUUUGAUCCUGGCUCACAACGAACGCUGGCGGCGUGCUUAACACAUGCGAGUCGCGUGCGCAGUUCCCGUAGCAAUACGGGGAUGGGCGCACGGCGCAGGGGUGCGUAACACGUGGGCAAUCUGCCCUCCGAUGGGGAAUAACCCCGCGAAAGCGGGGCUAAUACCGCAUAACAUUCCUUGGACCCUGGUUCGAGGACUCAAAGCAAUAAUGCGUCAGAGGAGGAGCCCGCGCCCGAUUAGCUAGUUGGCAGGGUAAUGGCCUACCGAGGCAAUGAUCGGUAGCUGGUCUGAAAGGAUGAUCAGCCACACUGGAACUGAGACACGGUCCACACUCCUACUGGAGGCAGCAGUGGGGAAUCUUGCACAAUGGGCGAAAGCCUGAUGCAGCGACGCCGCGUGGGGGAUGAAGCUUCUCGGAGUGUAAACCCCUUUCGCCUGGGACGAAUGCCUCGCAAGAGGAGUGACGGUACCACGAUAAGAAGCCCCGGCUAACUACGUGCCAGCAGCCGCGGUAAGACGUAGGGGGCCAGCGUUGUUCGGAAUUACUGGGUGUAAAGGGUUCGUAGGCCGUGUGGCAAGUUGGGAGUGAAAUCUCUGGGCUCAACCCAGAGGCUGCUUCCAAAACUGCUGUGCUUGAGUGUGGGAGAGGCGCGUGGAAUUGCAGGUGUAGCGGUGAAAUGCGUAGAUAUCUGCAUGAACACCCGUGGCGAAGGGUGCGCGCUGGACCACAACUGACGCUGAGGAACGAAAGCUAGGGGAGCAAACAGGAUUAGAUACCCUGGUAGUCCUAGCCCUAAACCAUAUAGGACUUGG